AACGAACGCUGGCGGCAUGCCUAACACAUGCAAGUCGAACGAACCCUUCGGGGUGAGUGGCACACGGGUGCGUAACGCGUGGGAACCUGCCCUUAGGUUCGGAAUAACAGUGAGAAAUCGCUGCUAAUACCGGAUAAUGUCUUCGGACCAAAGAUUUAUCGCCUUUGGAUGGGCCCGCGUUGGAUUAGCUAGCUGGUGGGGUAAAGGCUCACCAAGGCGACGAUCCAUAGCUGGUCUCAGAGGAUGAUCAGCCACACUGGGACUGAGACACGGCCCAGACUCCUACGGGAGGCAGCAGUGGGGAAUAUUGGACAAUGGGCGAAAGCCUGAUCCAGCAAUGCCGCGUGAGUGAUGAAGGCCUUAGGGUUGUAAAGCUCUUUUACCAGGGAUGAUAAUGACAGUACCUGGAGAAUAAGCUCCGGCCAACUCCGUG
Molecule: ribosomal RNA, 433 nt
Filed under: uncultured bacterium
Lineage: Bacteria
Description: bacterial SSU rRNA
Rfam family: Bacterial small subunit ribosomal RNA
Source: RNAcentral